GUGAAGCUGCGCGAGACAGGACAGUAGCACCAGACUUCGUCCGUCGCGUCAUGCUGAUGCGCGGCGAUGUGCAGGCGAAUAGUGCGACGACAUUCGCCGCGGCAUCCGCCAAUGAUGAAGAGUUUUUCUCCGAAACUGGAAAGAAGCCAGUUGAAACAGCAUGUCCACAUUGUCUUCUCUGAUUUCUAUUUCACCAGAAUACGCAAAAUCCAGGAAGGUGUGGAUGGCCUGCGGCGAGAGGUUACUGAGGGUCACGGUGCCGUCAUCACGCUCCCGCAUGUCCAGCUCAAACAUCGCCCUGUUUUUUUAAAUUAAUAUUUUUAUUCAUCAAGGACGCAUUAAAUUGAUCAAAAGUGACAGUAAAGACAUUUAUAAUGUUACAAAAGAUUUCUAUUUCUAAUAAACGCUGUUCUUUUGAACUUUCUAUUCAUCUGUGAAUCCUGAAAAAUAAAAUACAUCACAAUUU
Cyprinus carpio (common carp) is the source of this 466-nucleotide long non-coding RNA. RefSeq lists it as uncharacterized. NCBI's taxonomy places the organism in Eukaryota, Metazoa, Chordata, Actinopteri, Cypriniformes, Cyprinidae. The record is from RefSeq and is a predicted model, not a curated record.